RNAcentral lists this unclassified non-coding RNA (206 nucleotides) under uncultured fungus. RNAcentral describes it as "sequence contains ITS1". The record is from RNAcentral. Lineage: Eukaryota; Fungi.
UUAACUUAUUUAGCUAAUUGCUCAGACUGCAAUCUUCAGACAGCGUUCAAUGGUGUCUUCGGUGCGCGCGGACCCGGGGGCAGAAGCCCCCCGGCGGCCGUGAGGCGGGCGCACCGAAGCAACAAGGUACAAUAAACACGGGUGGGAGGUUGGACCCAGAGGGCCCUCACUCAGUAAUGAUCCUUCCGCAGGUUCACCUACGGAAA